AGAGUUUGAUCAUGGCUCAGGAUAAACGCUGGCGGCGUGCCUAACACAUGCAAGUCGAACGCGCACGGAGCGAUUCGUGUGAGUGGCGGACGGGUGAGGAACACGUGGGUUAUCUACCUUAAGGUGAGGAAUACCGGCGAGAAAUCGCCGACAAUACCGCAUACGUUUGGCCAACAAACAAAGUCCCGGCAACGGGACGCCUGAAGAUGAGCCUGCGCCCGAUUAGCCAGUUGGUGGGGUAAGAGCCUACCAAAGCGACGAUCGGUAGCUGGUCUGAGAGGACGGUCAGCCACACUGGGAUUGAGAACGGCCCAGACUCCUACGGGGGGCAGCAGUGAGGAAUUUUCGUCAAUGGGGGAAACCCUGAACGAGCAACGCCGCGUGCAGGAAGAAGGUUUUCGGAUCGUAAACUGCUUUUCUCGGGGAAGAGAAUGGACGGUACCCGAGGAAGAAGCCCCGGCUAACUACGUGCCAGCAGCCGCGGUAAUACGUAGGGGGCAAGCGUUGUCCGGAUUUAUUGGGCGUAAAGGGCGUGUAGGCGGUCUGCGACGUUGUGCGUGACAGGUAGUGGCUUAACUGCGACAGGGCGCAGAAAACGGGCAGACUUGAGACCUUCAGAGGGAUGCGGAAUUCCAGGUGGAGCGGUGAAAUGCGUAGAGAUCUGGAAGAACACCAAAGGCGAAGGCAGCAUCCUGGGGAGGAACUGACGCUGAGGCGCGAAAGCCAGGGGAGCGAACGGGAUUAGAUACCCCGGUAGUCCUGGCCGUAAACGAUGACCACCAGACGUGGGAGGUAUCGACCCCUUCCGUGUCGUCGCUAACGCAUUGAGUGGUCCGCCUGGGGAGUACGGUCGCAAGAUUAAAACUCAAAGGAAUUGACGGGGACCCGCACAAGCAGCGGAGCGUGUGGUUUAAUUCGAUGCAACGCG
Molecule: ribosomal RNA, 928 nt
Filed under: uncultured bacterium
Lineage: Bacteria
Description: bacterial SSU rRNA
Rfam family: Bacterial small subunit ribosomal RNA
Source: RNAcentral